ACAUGCCUACAACAUAGUGUUAAUGCAUUGGAUUCCAUUAGAAAUCCAUAGUUAACUACGCUCAGGCUAGAGUAGUACUAGGAUGGGUGAUUGCCUAGGAAGUCCUAGUGUUUUACAUGCA
This is a non-coding RNA of Picea glauca (white spruce), 121 nucleotides long. The record is from Rfam. Lineage: Eukaryota; Viridiplantae; Streptophyta; Pinopsida; Pinales; Pinaceae.